RNAcentral lists this ribosomal RNA (301 nucleotides) under uncultured bacterium. RNAcentral's name for it is "partial 16S ribosomal RNA". It matches the Rfam family "Bacterial small subunit ribosomal RNA", at positions 509 to 808 of the family's 1533-position model. The record is from RNAcentral.
CAGUAGCCGCGGUAAUACGUAGGUGGCAAGCGUUAUCCGGAAUUAUUGGGCGUAAAGCGCGCGCAGGCGGUUUCUUAAGUCUGAUGUGAAAGCCCACGGCUCAACCGUGGAGGGUCAUUGGAAACUGGGGAACUUGAGUGCAGAAGAGAAAAGCGGAAUUCCACGUGUAGCGGUGAAAUGCGUAGAGAUGUGGAGGAACACCAGUGGCGAAGGCGGCUUUUUGGUCUGUAACUGACGCUGAGGCGCGAAAGCGUGGGGAGCAAACAGGAUUAGAUACCCUGUAGUCCCUGUCUCUUAUACA